Long non-coding RNA from Notothenia coriiceps (black rockcod), 252 nucleotides. RefSeq lists it as uncharacterized. The transcript is spliced from 4 exons. NCBI's taxonomy places the organism in Eukaryota, Metazoa, Chordata, Actinopteri, Perciformes, Nototheniidae. The record is from RefSeq and is a predicted model, not a curated record.
CCUUCAGGGCUUCCUUCAUGACCUCUUCCUCCAACACAGGAAGUCCAUAACCCCUGAGAAACUGGAGGAGUACACUGACACCAUGAUGAAGAUGUUCGACAGAAACAGGGAUGGCAGGCUGGACUUAAAUGACCUGGCCAGAAUAUUGGCCCUGAAAGAGAAUUUCUUACUCAAGUUUAAGAUGGAUGCUUGCAGUCAGGACGACAGAAAGAGAGACUUUGAGAAGAUUUUCGCUCACUAUGAUGUUGUAAG